GAUGAACGCUGGCGGCGUGCCUAAUACAUGCAAGUCGAGCGAACAGACGAGGAGCUUGCUCCUUCGACGUUAGCGGCGGACGGGUGAGUAACACGUAGGUAACCUACCUAUAAGACUGGGAUAACUUCGGGAAACCGGAGCUAAUACCGGAUAAUAUUUCGAACCGUAUGGUUCGAUAGUGAAAGAUGGCUUUGCUAUUACUUAUAGAUGGACCUGCGCCGUAUUAGCUAGUUGGUAAGGUAACGGCUUACCAAGGCAACGAUAAGUAGCCGACCUGAGAGGGUGAUGGGCCACACUGGACCUGAGACACGGUCCGGACUCCUACGGGAGGAAGCAGAAGGGAAUCUUGCGCAAUGGGCGAAAGCCUGACGGAGCAACGCCGCGUGGGUGAUGAAGGUCUUCGGAUCGUAAAACUCUGUUAUUAGGGAAGAACAAACGUGUAAGUAACUGUGCACGUCUUGACGGUACCUAAUCAGAAAGCCACGACUAACUACGUG
RNAcentral lists this ribosomal RNA (497 nucleotides) under uncultured bacterium. Its description in RNAcentral is "partial 16S ribosomal RNA". It matches the Rfam family "Bacterial small subunit ribosomal RNA", at positions 28 to 507 of the family's 1533-position model. The record is from RNAcentral.